GUUUUAGUUGCAGUGGGGUUUGCAUUUUGAAAUGGAUUGGAAGGAUUAAUUUGCACCACGGCCUUUCUGAUUUAGAGUAAAUUUUCCGCCACCAUUUACAUAGUAGGCUAGCAUUGAAGGUACAAAAGUUGAAUACUCCCAAUCCUCCAUAUUUCUUGGGUCUGCAAACGCUAGUCCAUUUCAUUCUACAGUGUACCCAAUAGUGCGGUUUUCUUCUCCUCUCCAGAG
This 228-nucleotide long non-coding RNA is filed under the name Elaeis guineensis (African oil palm). RNAcentral describes it as "long non-coding RNA (EGUI_LNC041429)". The record is from RNAcentral. Lineage: Eukaryota; Viridiplantae; Streptophyta; Magnoliopsida; Arecales; Arecaceae.